This 2432-nucleotide long non-coding RNA is filed under the name Selaginella moellendorffii. RNAcentral's name for it is "long non-coding RNA (SMOE_LNC001422)". Lineage: Eukaryota; Viridiplantae; Streptophyta; Lycopodiopsida; Selaginellales; Selaginellaceae. The record is from RNAcentral.
CCGUGCCAAUAUCACUGGUGUUUUUCGCUUUGUGAGUGACGGAUCUUCAAGCAUAUUCUAAAGGGACGGCCCAGAUUGACGGACAACGGUCAUCGUGUUAGGGUUCUUCAUCUUUCACCGCGCGAGGCGAUUCCUCCAUCGGCACGCGAAGUGACCAAGAAAUCUGUGAUAGAACGAGGCGCUACACUGUCUGGUAGGAAUCAUAUUGCAAAAAGACUUAUUACUAUACCACCAGGGCGAUUUCUAUCGAGCGGAGUGGACGCAUAGCUCGCCGCUACAGUUGUAGAGCACUCUAUCGGCCAUGAGCACGCCGCCGUCUAGGCGCUCCAGUGGCUUCUCUCCGCAGAGCAUUGUCACAACGCUAGACAGAAGUUUGAGCACAUAAGCGGCCCACGCUUAUCACUCUCUCCACUUGUUCUUCGUCAAAACUUGGCCCAGGUGAGCUGACGAUUCUCUCGUCUAGCAGCUCCGGUAUCUUGUUCUCUUCGUGUAACUUACAGGCCUGCGAUGGGAUCGCUCCAGCUUUUUCAAGGAGGAAAAAAGUUUUUUUCGAUCACUCACCCAUUCCAGAAGGUACUGGGUUGAUCCCAAUCCGUGCUCUUUCGACCACUCACGAUUCCCAGGCUCAGGAUUCCAAAGCUGAAAACAUCUGCUUUGUCCGUCAAGAGGCCAUGGAGUGCCUACUCCGGUGCCAUAUAUCCCCCGCAAAAACAAAGGUUUGCUCUCGUAUCUGAAGAAUGUGGUGUGACUUUGCCUACACAGUUCCUGCGAUUUGUGUGUUGAUGGAUUUCUCAUCCAAGUACAGUUUCGCCCGAAGUCCGCAAUCUUUGCCUCGAACCGUUUGUCCGAAAGUACCUUCCCGGCUUUGAUGUCUCUGUGGAUGAUUUUUAUCUGGGAAUCCUGGUGCAGGUAAAGGAGUCCUCGAGCUACAUCUAAGAUGAUAUUGUAUCUUUGCUCCCAGGAAAGGCAAGGUUCUCCUGGAUCAGCCGGUACGUAAGUAGAGCAUUGUCAAAAGCUUUCAAGAGAUGGGCUUGGCUCUUACCAAACAGGACUUUGGCCAGGCUGUUCUUCUCCAGGAGCUCGAACACCAGCAGCCUUUAGAUUCCUCGGUGCCGUAUAGCUUGACCAGGUUCCGGUGCUGGACACUGCUUACAAGCCGGACCUCGUUGAGGAACUCGUGUUUUCCUUUUUGCGACUCCGUGGUAAGUCUUUUGAUGGCUAUCUUUCUACCGUCUUGCAGAAUUCCCUGAUUAAAGAUCUUCUCAAUCAUACAAAACUUUUCCCAAGGCAAGUCACUGCUCACCCUGUAGACCUCCACAUCCUCCCUCGCCUAAUUUGAUAUCAUCGCUGAAAUUGUUUGUGGCUGCUUUCAUGGGUAGAUGGUUGCUCCCUGAUGAAUGCUCGUCCUUGUCCAGCAAAUUAUAGAAAACGAGCUUCGAGGUAAUAGUUCUCUUUCGUAGCAACGUACCUUCGUUGACGCAAGUCCUUCCAGGAUUUAAAUAUCGGUGCUUGAUCCUCAGGCAGCAGAAUACAAUCCAGGACACCUCUCAGUCAAGUUCUUUGUCGCGACGGCCAUGCAAGUGUUACACUGCUCGGCGCUCAUGUCCCAUCGACACUCGCCCAGCCCGAAGACUCGCAACUUGCCGUCUCCAGAAGUGACAGUGGUGGAAGAUCCAUGACUAGACAACACCACCAUCGCGGAGUUUAUAUUCUGGCCAUACUGGGAGGAAGGAGCUACGCCGCUACAGUUUGCAAUAGGACGGAGAAGAAAGGAUGGUUAUCAUAGAUGAGGUAGCAACCGUAGAGGAGGAUCCGAGCUUCAAAGCUUCCGGGGCAGACCGACUUGGCGGCCUGGGCUGCGUCUUGGGCGCAGGUCCUGGCGGCACUGGAGGACUCCGUAACCUGUGAGUUUGCCAUCGCGGCUGGGAGCGGAGCUCCGGAAGUGACCGGUGAUGGGGGCAUUGGCGACGAGAACUGCGAGAAGAUCGUCGACAGCGGUGGAGUAAGAGGAAGAAGCGAUGGUGAUCUGGAGUGCUUCUCUCGGCACGAGGACUCGAUCAGUGUGGCAAGCGUUUGAUGGUGGUGGGAAGAAGAUGAAGCUUGUGAGGAGGAGCAUGGUGUGGAGGAGCGUCAUCUCAUUGCGUGACUAAAUUGGAGGACCAAAGAAUUUAACUUUGAAAGUUUUAAGAUUUUAGGGUUCUUUGCUCAUUCUCGUUAAAGGUUUUAACGAGUAGAUUUUAAAGAUUUUUAGGGUCUUCGAUCAUCGCGCCGAGGAGAUGCAUUGCGACGAGUGGAGUUCCUGGCUGCUGUAGCUGGAGUUUAGCGUGUCCGCCUUGAGCACUCCAUCGACGAGCUCUACCAUCGCCGGCCGCGACACUUUGCCCAGCUUGGCCUCUCCACAGAUCAUCGUCACGACUCGUGACAUGCUUGGG